AUUCACAAUUUUCUAGAGAAAUAUUUAGAUAAAAUUUUUAAUGAGAAUAAAUGUAAAUGUUCUUUUAUUAUAAAAACUCUAUUCAUACCUAACUUUCAUGUAGCAAGGAUUAGUUAUCACAAAGAAACUCCAUCUCUUGUACAUUUCAAUUUCUCGGUACGUUUCAAUCACAUGGUCCAAAGCUUCAGGAUGAAGCUAUUAGCAAUUACAACAAACAAUGAAACAAGGGAAUUAGAAGAAUUUAAAGAAAUUCCAAUUCCAUAAUAUUCGCCAAUAUAUCGACUUACAAAACUAAACCAAGCUUAGUCAUAAUGGUCUUUCCAAAAAGUUUAAAAGAAUUGUCUAAUUUUGGGGAUCAGAACAUCUAUCCCGCUCGCUCCCCAGAUUGCACGAACAUAAAUGCAAGAUCAAAUUUACAAAUUGUAUAUUAUAUAUAUAUAAUUUCAAAUCCUUAUUAAUGCAAAAUAAAAAAAAGAAAUAUAAUUCUGAUAUUCAAUUAGCUAUAUUUGGUUAUUGGGCUAUGAUAGUUUCC
Gordionus sp. m RMFG-2023 is the source of this 532-nucleotide long non-coding RNA. RefSeq lists it as uncharacterized. The record is from RefSeq and is a predicted model, not a curated record. NCBI's taxonomy places the organism in Eukaryota, Metazoa, Nematomorpha, Gordioida, Chordodea, Parachordodidae. The transcript is spliced from 3 exons.